UGAGUACGAGAUGCUACGGCAUCGAAGCAGUCUAUGUCAUACUUCCAAGAAAAGCUUGCACUGUCAUAAACAAAGAAUGCCUGUACCAUAACCGACACAGGUGGGUAGGUAGAGUAUACUAAGGGGCGCGAGAUAACUCUCUCUAAGGAACUCGGCAAAAUGACUCCGUAACUUCGGGAGAAGGAGUGCCUUAUUUCUAAGGUUGCAAUAACAAGAUCCAAGCAACUGUUUACCAAAAACACAGGUCUCCGCUAAGUCGUAAGACGAUGUAUGGGGGCUGACGCCUGCCCAGUGCCAGAAGGUUAAAGAAGUUGGUUAGCAUUAGCGAAGCUGAUAACUGAAGCCCUGGUGAACGGCGGCCGUAACGAUAACGGUCCUAAAGUAGCGAAAUUCCUUGUCGGGUAAGUUCCGACCCGCACGAAAGGCGUAAUGAUUUGGAUACUGUCUCGGAGAGGGGCUCGGUGAAAUAGACUUGUCUGUGAAGAUGCGGACUACCUGCACCUGGACAGAAAGACCCUAUGAAGCUUUACUGUAACUUGAGAUUGAAAUUGGACUUUAUUUGCGCAGUAUAGGUGGGAGGCGUUGAGAAUAAUCUUGCGGGAUUGUUGGAGCCAUCAGUGAGAUACCACUCUUGUAAUGUUAGAUUUCUAACUUUGUAUCAUUAUCUGGUCAAAGAACAGUUUCAGGCGGGCAGUUUGACUGGGGCGGUCGCCUCCCAAAGGGUAACGGAGGCGCACAAAGGUUUCCUCUGAACGGGUAGAAAUCGUAUCUAGAGUGUAAAGGCAUAAGGAAGCUUGACUGUGAGACCUACAAGUCGAGCAGGGACGAAAGUCGGUCUUAGUGAUCUGACGGUGCUGAGUGGAAAGGCUGUCACUCAACGGAUAAAAGUUACUCUAGGAUAACAGGCUGAUCUCCCCCAAGAGUUCACAUCGACGGGGAGGUUUGGCACCUCGAUGUCGGCUCAUCGCAUCCUGGGGCGGUAGUCCGUCCCAAGGGUUGGGCUGUUCGCCCAUGAAAGCGGUACGCGAGCUGGGUUCAGAACGUCGUGAGACAGAUCGGUCCAUAUCCGGUGUAGGCGUUAGAAUAUUGAGAGGAGCCUUCUCUAGUACGAGAGGACCGAGAAGGACAUACCUUUGGUGUACCAGUUAUCGUGCCAACGGUAAACGCUGGGUAGCUAUGCAUGGAGUGGAUAACCGCUGAAAGCAUCUAAGUGGGAAGCCCACCUCAAGAUAAGUAUUCUCGUA
RNAcentral lists this ribosomal RNA (1244 nucleotides) under metagenome. Its description in RNAcentral is "bacterial LSU rRNA". It matches the Rfam family "Bacterial large subunit ribosomal RNA", at positions 1564 to 2818 of the family's 2925-position model. The record is from RNAcentral.